CCUUCUAUUAUACCGAAAUUUAAUUAUUAAUAAAAGUUUUAUUUUUACUUCUACUUAGUUUUUCAAAAAAAAUUAAAAAAAAUUUGAAUAGGGAAAAGAAGUAAAUAUUUCUCUUUUUUUCAUUCAAAUUUUUUAUGUUAAGUAAAAUCUAAUUUAAAUUAAUAAAAGAGU
RNAcentral lists this transfer RNA (171 nucleotides) under Tetraphis pellucida. RNAcentral's name for it is "partial tRNA-Ser". The record is from RNAcentral. Lineage: Eukaryota; Viridiplantae; Streptophyta; Tetraphidopsida; Tetraphidales; Tetraphidaceae.